Molecule: ribosomal RNA, 494 nt
Filed under: uncultured bacterium
Lineage: Bacteria
Description: partial 16S ribosomal RNA
Rfam family: Bacterial small subunit ribosomal RNA
Source: RNAcentral
GACGAACGCUGGCGGCGUGCUUGACACAUGCAAGUCGAACGGAAAGGCCUGCUUUCCCUUGUGGAUUGCGGGUACUCGAGUGGCGAACGGGUGAGUAACACGUGAGUGAUCUGCCCCCAACUUGGGUAUAAGCCUGGGAAACUGGGUCUAAUUCCCGAUAGGACUGCAGGGUGGUGCCUGUGGUGGAAAACGAUUUUCUAGUGGUUGGGGAUGAGCUCGCGGCCUAUCAGCUUGUUGGUGGGGUAAUGGCCUACCAAGGCGGCGACGGGUAGCCGGACUGGGAGGGUUGACGGCCGCAUUGAGACUGAGAUACGGCCCAGACUCCUACGGGAGGCAGCGGUGGGGAAUAUUGGACAAUGGGCGGAAGCCUGAUGCAGCGACGCCGCGUGGAGGAUGACGGCCUUCGGGAUGUAAACACCUUUGGAGCGCGAGGAGGCCGCCUGGUUGGAAGGGUGGUGACGGUAGUGGUAGAAGAAGCACCGGCUAACUACGUG